RNAcentral lists this ribosomal RNA (441 nucleotides) under uncultured bacterium. Its description in RNAcentral is "bacterial SSU rRNA". It matches the Rfam family "Bacterial small subunit ribosomal RNA", at positions 340 to 774 of the family's 1533-position model. The record is from RNAcentral.
UACGGAAGGCAGCAGUGGGGAAUAUUGCACAAUGGGCGCAAGCCUGAUGCAGCCAUGCCGCGUGUAUGAAAAAGGCCUUCGGGUUGUAAAGUACUUUCAGUCGUGAGGAAGGUGUUAAGGUUAAUAACCUUAGCAAUUGACGUUAGCGACAGAAGAAGCACCGGCUAACUCCGUGCCAGCAGCCGCGGUAAUACGGAGGGUGCGAGCGUUAAUCGGAAUUACUGGGCGUAAAGGGCACGCAGGCGGUUAAUUAAGUUGGAUGUGAAAUCCCCGGGCUUAACCUGGGAAUGGCAUUCAAGCUGGUUAGCUAGAGUCUUGUAGAGGGGGUAGAAUUCCAUGUGUAGCGGUGAAAUGCGUAGAGAUGUGGAGGAAUACCGGUGGCGAAGGCGGCCCCUGGGACAAAGGACUGACGCUCAUGUGCGAAAGCGUGGGGAGCGAAAC